This 251-nucleotide ribosomal RNA is filed under the name uncultured prokaryote. Its description in RNAcentral is "partial 16S rRNA". It matches the Rfam family "Bacterial small subunit ribosomal RNA", at positions 525 to 775 of the family's 1533-position model. The record is from RNAcentral.
ACGGAGGGUGCAAGCGUUAUUCGGAUUUAUUGGGCGUAAAGGGCGCGUAGGCGGCUUUUUAAGUCAGAUGUGAAAUCCCGGGGCUUAACCUCGGAAGUGCAUUUGAAACUGGGAAGCUUGAGUAUGGGAGAGGGAAACGGAAUUCCUGGUGUAGGGGUGAAAUGCGUAGAUAUCAGGAGGAACACCGGUGGCGAAGGCGGUUUCCCGGACCAAUUCUGACGCUGAGGCACGAAAGCGCGGGGAGCAAACAG